CAGCCGCCGUGGGAAUACAGAGGGUGCGAGCGUUAAUCGGAUUUACUGGGCGUAAAGCGUGCGUAGGCGGCUUUUUAAGUCGGAUGUGAAAUCCCUGAGCUUAACUUAGGAAUUGCAUUCGAUACUGGGAAGCUAGAGUAUGGGAGAGGAUGGUAGAAUUCCAGGUGUAGCGGUGAAAUGCGUAGAGAUCUGGAGGAAUACCGAUGGCGAAGGCAGCCAUCUGGCCUAAUACUGACGCUGAGGUACGAAAGCAUGGGGAGCAAACAGGAUUAGAGACCUCCGUAGUCCCUGUCUCUUAUAC
RNAcentral lists this ribosomal RNA (301 nucleotides) under uncultured bacterium. Its description in RNAcentral is "partial 16S ribosomal RNA". It matches the Rfam family "Bacterial small subunit ribosomal RNA", at positions 509 to 807 of the family's 1533-position model. The record is from RNAcentral.